GUCCUGGGAUGACCUGUGGCGGAAGGUAAACCGAAGGUGACUGCGGUUAACGUCCUCGAUGGGAAUGGCCACCUUCAAGAAUUGAAAAAGAAGUUUAAGCACUGUUAUCAAUAUCGUCCAGCAUAACAGCUUUAUUCAACUGGAGCUAUCAGAAGUUUUCACGAAACCAAUUUCAAUGAAUGAGAGACUUUUAAUUCACAAUUCAAUAUCUCGAGAGAAAUGAAAAAUAUGCAACUGUGAAGUUCUCAUGGGAGAAGUCCUGAGCACACUGCAAGGCAUCCUGGGACCACAGUCUCAAGGGUCACAGAGGAAGGAACUUCAGGGCUGAGACCUGCAGGAAGCGAGGGAACUGAGGCCUGUCCUCACCCAGGGGAGGUGGAGCCCUCAGAUGCUGUGAUAUGAAAUUCCAGAUCAUGGGAGGGAGAGUUUGAAGGAAGGAUGAACCACCAAUAGAAAGCGGUCCCCAAAGAGGUAUCGGGGAUGGCACCCAGACAGGAGCACAUGUACCACUGCCCAGAAUGUGCAUUUCACUAGACAAGUGACGACAAAAAUUUUCACUGUGACUUGAAAAUGCCCACUCCUCCCAGAAGUUCAAGGAACUGGACCCUCGGGCAUGAGCCCAAGGUUCACCAGCUUCAAAGAUCUUGGCCACACACUAGUGAGCCUGGCAGAGCCAGGCUUCUGGUCCUCUUUCCCAGUGAUUUCCUGCUGGCCUGACACCAAACUCCACUUUCCCUGAACGACUCUAAUAAAAGUUUAUCAAAACUCUGAUGACUGCAAAAGAAACUGGAGAUCCGAGGGC
This 802-nucleotide non-coding RNA is filed under the name Pongo abelii (Sumatran orangutan). Lineage: Eukaryota; Metazoa; Chordata; Mammalia; Primates; Hominidae. The record is from RNAcentral.